Molecule: long non-coding RNA, 606 nt
Organism: Anopheles gambiae (African malaria mosquito)
Lineage: Eukaryota; Metazoa; Arthropoda; Insecta; Diptera; Culicidae
Exons: 3
Source: RefSeq, a predicted model, not a curated record
GUCUAGUCUAGCUGCCUCGCUUCCUCCUAUAGCGAUUCUGUCGAGCUGAGCUUUCACGUCUCUCAUCACCGAUCUCCUUCCUACCCCUCGCCUAAGAUCGUCUGACGUCUCGCCUGACACCUUUCGUUGUGUUGGUGCUAUGCGGCUGCUGUCACUGUAGAAGUCAGGUUGUGUGUGUAAAAAAAAACGUAAACAGUGUUGUUGGCUGAUCAAUUUUGGUAAGUUUUUUAAUAAUUAAGUUCUUAAUUUUACGUAAGUAAGUGCCAUUUUAGCUAAAUUAAGUGGUAGAAGUCCUGCCCAAUGCGUGCUGGCUCCGUCGGAAGCGGUUCGUGUAUGUACCGGCGUAGAAAAGUGGCGUGAUGAACAACACAGCACAAGACAGCAGAUAUAAUGCAGAAACGAAAUGGGCCUGCCGCAGGUGUUUGCCACUGUGCGCUGUGUAUGAUUGUGUAUGAUUCGCCAAUUUUCCUCUAUCCUGGAACGUGGGCUUACGAGGAACCAUUUAAGAACAUCCUCCGGAAGCUGUACAGCGACGAGUCGGGCUCUACCAGCACAACACGCUAGAGGCCCAGCCGGUACCGGGUGCCCCGAUUGCGCCGUGAGACG